Molecule: ribosomal RNA, 763 nt
Filed under: uncultured Streptococcus sp.
Lineage: Bacteria; Bacillati; Bacillota; Bacilli; Lactobacillales; Streptococcaceae
Description: bacterial SSU rRNA
Rfam family: Bacterial small subunit ribosomal RNA
Source: RNAcentral
GACGAACGCUGGCGGCGUGCCUAAUACAUGCAAGUAGAACGCUGAAGGAGGAGCUUGCUUCUCCGGAUGAGUUGCGAACGGGUGAGUAACGCGUAGGUAACCUGCCUGGUAGCGGGGGAUAACUAUUGGAAACGAUAGCUAAUACCGCAUAACAGUAGAUAUUGCAUGAUAUCUGCUUGAAAGGUGCAAUUGCAUCACUACCAGAUGGACCUGCGUUGUAUUAGCUAGUUGGUGAGGUAACGGCUCACCAAGGCGACGAUACAUAGCCGACCUGAGAGGGUGAUCGGCCACACUGGGACUGAGACACGGCCCAGACUCCUACGGGAGGCAGCAGUAGGGAAUCUUCGGCAAUGGACGGAAGUCUGACCGAGCAACGCCGCGUGAGUGAAGAAGGUUUUCGGAUCGUAAAGCUCUGUUGUAAGAGAAGAACGAGUGUGAGAGUGGAAAGUUCACACUGUGACGGUAUCUUACCAGAAAGGGACGGCUAACUACGUGCCAGCAGCCGCGGUAAUACGUAGGUCCCGAGCGUUGUCCGGAUUUAUUGGGCGUAAAGCGAGCGCAGGCGGUUAGAUAAGUCUGAAGUUAAAGGCUGUGGCUUAACCAUAGUACGCUUUGGAAACUGUUUAACUUGAGUGCAAGAGGGGAGAGUGGAAUUCCAUGUGUAGCGGUGAAAUGCGUAGAUAUAUGGAGGAACACCGGUGGCGAAAGCGGCUCUCUGGCUUGUAACUGACGCUGAGGCUCGAAAGCGUGGGGAGCAAACAGG